CCUACGGGGUGCAGCAGUGGGGAAUAUUGCACAAUGGGGGGAACCCUGAUGCAGCAAUGCCGCGUGGGUGAAGAAGCACUCCGGUGCGUAAAGCCCUGUCAGCAGGGAAGAAAAUGACAGUACCUUACCACGAAGCACCGGCUAACUACGUGCAAGCAGCCGCGGGAAUACGUAGGGGGCAGGCGUUAUCCGGAUGUAAUGGGUGUAAAGGGGGCGCAGGCGGUAUGGAAAGUCCGAUGUGAAAACCCAGGGCCCAACCCUGGGACUGCAUUUGAAACUGCCAUACUGGAGUGCCGGAGAGGUAAGUGGAAUUCCUAGUGUAGCGGUGAAAUGCGUAGAUGUUAGGAGGAACACCAGUGGCGAAGGCGGCUUACUGGACGGUAACUGACGCUGAGGCUCGAAAGCGUGGGGAGCAAACAGGAUUAGAUACCCCAGUAGUC
This 440-nucleotide ribosomal RNA is filed under the name uncultured bacterium. RNAcentral describes it as "partial 16S ribosomal RNA". It matches the Rfam family "Bacterial small subunit ribosomal RNA", at positions 338 to 795 of the family's 1533-position model. The record is from RNAcentral.